Molecule: unclassified non-coding RNA, 332 nt
Filed under: soil metagenome
Description: partial contains 5.8S ribosomal RNA, internal transcribed spacer 2, and large subunit ribosomal RNA
Rfam family: 5.8S ribosomal RNA (bases 1-120)
Source: RNAcentral
GAUGAAGAACGCAGCGAAAUGCGAUAAGUAGUGUGAAUUGCAGAAUUCAGUGACUCAUCGAAUCUUUGAACGCACAUUGCGCCCUUUGGUAUUCCUUAGGGCAUGCCUGUUCGAGCGUCAUUUAAACCUUCAAGCUAAGCUUGGUGUUGGGUGACUGUCCGCUUCACGGCGGACUCGCCUCAAAAUUAUUGGCGGCCGGUACAUUGGCUUCGAGCGCAGCAGAAACGCGAACUCGGGCCCGUCGUAUUGGCUCCCAGAAGCUAUCUUCACAAUUUUGACCUCGGAUCAGGUAGGGAUACCCGCUGAACUUAAGCAUAUCAAUAAGCGGAGGA